AACGAACGCUGGCGGCACGCCUAACACAUGCAAGUCGAACGCUCGGGGGGCAACCCCCGGGAGUGGCGGACGGGUGAGUAACGCGUGGGAACCUGCCCUAUGGUGCGGGACAACUCCGGGAAACCGGGGGCUAAUACCGCAUGUUCCGGGUCGCGAGAUCCGGCAAAGAUUUAUCGCCAUGGGAGGGGGCCCCGCGCCCCGAUUAGCUUGUUGGUAGGGUAACGGCCUACCAAGGCUUUGAUCGGUAGCCGGUCUGAGAGGANGGCCGGCCACAC
Molecule: ribosomal RNA, 275 nt
Filed under: uncultured bacterium
Lineage: Bacteria
Description: partial 16S ribosomal RNA
Rfam family: Bacterial small subunit ribosomal RNA
Source: RNAcentral